This 410-nucleotide ribosomal RNA is filed under the name uncultured bacterium. Its description in RNAcentral is "bacterial SSU rRNA". It matches the Rfam family "Bacterial small subunit ribosomal RNA", at positions 64 to 507 of the family's 1533-position model. The record is from RNAcentral.
GAACGAGAAAGUGGAGCAAUCCAUGAGUAAAGUGGCGACCGGGUGAGUAACACGCGACUACCUGCCUCCGAGUGGGGAAUAACUCCGGGAAACCGGGGCUAAUACCGCAUAACAUCGCAAGAUCAAAGCAGCAAUGCGCUUGGAGAGGGGGUCGCGGCUGAUUAGCUAGUUGGCGGGGUAACGGCCCACCAAGGCGAAGAUCGGUAUCCGGCCUGAGAGGGCGCACGGACACACUGGAACUGAAACACGGUCCAGACUCCUACGGGAGGCAGCAGUGGGGAAUUUUGCGCAAUGGGGGAAACCCUGACGCAGCAACGCCGCGUGGAGGAUGAAGCCCUUUGGGGCGUAAACUCCUUUCGACCAAGACGAUAAUGACGGUACUGGUGGAAGAAGCACCGGCUAACUCUGUG